GUGGAGACCAGAGUCUUGCUAUGCUUUCCAGGCUGGUUUUGAACUCCUAGCCUCAAGCGAUUUUCCUGCCUCAGCUUCCCAAAGUGCUGGGAUUACAGGCACAAGCCACUGCACCCGGCCCUGUUGUUGUUAAGAAAAUUACAAGUUAAAUCUUGUACCAGUGAACAAGAUUAGGGAUCGUGAUGUGGAGCUGCACUUCCUGGUUCCAAAUCCUGGCUCUUCCCCUCAUCCCUGGGUAAGUUGAGGGAUGAGAGCAAGAGAAGGUUGAUCCUGACUCAGAUCUCUGCAUGGGGCAUGUCACUGAUGACGGCGGCAUUCCCUGAGAGAGGGAACACUAAGUUUGAAGUUGGGCAUAGUGAGCACUAUUUUGGAUGAGUUAAGUUUAGAAGUGCCUGAAGACAUCCAAGUGGAAGAAGUGGCUGCAUGGACUGAAGAUACAGACUGGGAAACGUUAACACCAUCAAGGAACUGGAGUCCUGGGCACAGCCCUUCAAGACAGAGGAGAUUAUGGGGCUACUGAACGUAUCUUGGACUUUAGAGAAAGAAAGUGAAGCUGAGCUGAGAUCCAUUGGUUCUAUUUUGGAAAGAUGCACCCCGUGGCAUGACCUUCACAGCUCAGUUCUGGGGUCAAAGGAAUUUUCCAUUGCUCACACUGCCACCCAACUCUGGGGGCAUAAGUGUGGAAGUGGUACAGCACACAUGGAGAAGGGAUGGGAGGAGCAGGGGUGUGUAUCAGCUUAGCCGAUCCCCCGAGGAGCUGCCAAGCUUGCUACCCCAAGAACAAUGCCUCAUAGCUCUGUGACCUCUUCAAGAUUAAGGCUCUUUGAUCUCAGCCCUUCUGAAGUGGUUUGAACCAUAUUCUAUACAAAAUUGGUAACUCCCCCAUAAGAAUUGCUUUUUAAAUAUCCUGCUCUAUUUGAAAAAGGAAUUUUAAAAAUAAAGUUUACCCUUUUACUCUCUCCCAGCAAGUGAGAUAUUCAAAACAACAAAAAUUCCUCUAACAUGUUAUGAUGUGGAAACUGGUAUUUUACUGAUUUGUCUUUUCCACUUGGCUUCAAGUUCUUUGGGGAAUGAAGAUCAUAUCAAUCCCUAGCCGACCGCUUCAGGCACAACUGCAAAUGUUUCUUGAAUGAACUUCCAGGCUUACCUGAAUUCUAAGGGGGAUUUCCACCAUAAUGGGAAAGCCACAAGAAAACCAGCAAAGGGUUUAAAAAAAAAAGGGUGAAAAUAUAAGUUAUUUAUCGGGGGUUAUCACUUUAUGCAGAGAGCAUUCGAAACAAUGAUUUCCACAAAUGGGCAGCAACAGUAACAGCCAUACUAAGCCAUUGCUUUCUUUACUUCCUCUUGGUCUAGAAUAUGCUGCAAAGGGAGAAGAAGGAAGACGUGUGGUAUGGAAUCACCUAUGGAUAAGGUUGAGAACCAUGGGCUAGAUGCUAUGGAGACCAACGUAUCACUUACUAGGCUUUACUUUGUGCCAGGCACUGGAUUCGGCAUUACCCCAUUUAAGCCUCACUACCAUCCUUCAUGUUACUAUUCCACGUUGCCGCUCAGGAGAAACAAAAUUUUUUUAUUAAAUUCAAGUAACCUGAGGUCCCAUAUUUAGUAAGAGGCAGAGGAGUUAGAUGUGUCAAUAGCUAAAUUACAUGGCUGUGUCCUCUAGCUGGCCAGGGACUGACAACAUCAGUAUCACCUGGUGACUCUCCCAGGGGAGAUGUUUUUAAAAAUCUUUUCCAGUAAUUCUGUGCAACAUGGCAAUCUGAAACCAGUCUUUCAGACCUGGAAGUUCUUUAGAGACCACAGGACUCUCUUUGAUAUUUUUUCUUUUGAAUUUUUUUAAAAUACAGAAUCCUUUUUCAUGUUCUCUGUUUAUAAAACAACUGCAUGUCAAUUACAUUAUUUUUUAGAAGAUAGGUACAAGAGCCAGGCGUGGUGGCUCAUGGCUGUAAUCACAACACUUUGGGAGGUCGAGGCAGGUGGAUCAUUUGAGGCUGGAAGUUCGAGACCAGCCUGGCCAACAUGGCAAAACCUGUCUCUACUAAAAAUAUAAAAAAUUAGCCUGGAGUAGUGGUGCAUGUCCCAGCUACUCGGGAGGCUGAGGCAUGAAAAUCGCUUGAACCCGGGAGGUGCAGGUUGCAGUGAGCCAAGAUCGCACCACUGCACUCCAGCCUGGGCAACAGAGCAAGACUGUGUCUUGACAGCAACAAAAAAAGAAGAUAGGUAUAGGAAUUAAAAAGAAAGCAAAUAAUUACUGGUAGCCUGACCACUAAGAGAUAUAUACUGAUAUUUUUUUUGCGGGGGGUGCAUCUCCUUGCAGGCCUUUUUGUAUGUUUAUGUUCAAACACAUUUGUAACAACAAUGAAUAAAAAACGCAUAAUAUUCAAUGACUUUUUAUU
Molecule: long non-coding RNA, 2393 nt
Filed under: Homo sapiens (human)
Lineage: Eukaryota; Metazoa; Chordata; Mammalia; Primates; Hominidae
Description: non-protein coding lnc-TMEM30B-1:5
Source: RNAcentral